AAGCAACGCGAAGAACCUUUACCAGGUCUUGACAUCCCUCUGAAUGGCGCUUAGCAGCGCAGGUCCUUCGGGACAGAGGAGACAGGUGGUGCGAUGGUUGUCGUCAGCUCGUGUCGUGAGAUGUUGGGUUAAGUCCCGCAACGAGCGCAACCCUUGCCUUUAGUUGCCAGCACGUAAAGGUGGGCACUCUAGAGGGACUGCCGGUGACAACCGGAGGAAGUGGGAUGACGUCAAAUCAUCAUGCCCCUUAUGAUCUGGGCUACACACGUGCUACAAUGGCCGGUACAACGAGAAGCGAAACCGCGAGGUGAAGCAAAUCUUUUAAAGCCGGUCCCAGUUCGGAUUGCAGGCUGAAACUCGCCUGCAUGAAGUUGGAGUUGCUAGUAAUCGCGGAUCAGCAUGCCGUGGUGAAUGCGUUCCCGGGUCUU
Molecule: ribosomal RNA, 428 nt
Filed under: uncultured Acidaminobacter sp.
Lineage: Bacteria; Bacillati; Bacillota; Clostridia; Peptostreptococcales; Acidaminobacteraceae
Description: bacterial SSU rRNA
Rfam family: Bacterial small subunit ribosomal RNA
Source: RNAcentral